AGCGAACGCUGGCGGCAGGCUUAACACAUGCAAGUCGAGCGGGCCUUUCGGGUUCAGCGGCGGACGGGUGAGUAACGCGUGGGAACGUGCCCUCUGGUUCGGAAUAACUCAGGGAAACUUGAGCUAAUACCGGAUACGCCCUUUUGGGGAAAGGCUUGCUGCCGGAGGAUCGGCCCGCGUCUGAUUGGCUCGUUGGUGAGGUAACGGCUCACCAAGGCGACGAUCAGUAGCUGGUCUGAGAGGAUGAUCAGCCACACUGGGACUGAGACACGGCCCAGACUCCUACGGGAGGCAGCAGUGGGGAAUAUUGGACAAUGGGCGCAAGCCUGAUCCAGCCAUGCCGCGUGAGUGAUGAAGGCCUUAGGGUUGUAAAGCUCUUUUAUCCGGGACGAUAAUGACGGUACCGGAGGAAUAAGCCCCGGCUAACUUCGUG
RNAcentral lists this ribosomal RNA (433 nucleotides) under uncultured bacterium. RNAcentral describes it as "partial 16S ribosomal RNA". It matches the Rfam family "Bacterial small subunit ribosomal RNA", at positions 29 to 507 of the family's 1533-position model. The record is from RNAcentral.